CGGGGGAUGCCCAGGGUCGGGGGAUGCCCAGGGUCGGGGGAUGCCCCCAUUCGGUGGAAGCCACGCGGGGUUGCAGACAAGCCGGGUCAGCCGUAUAUUUAUUGAGAAUGUUUGUGGAGGGAUAAAAAUAUUUCCACUACUCUAUAAGAAUUUAUAAACCUAUACUCUCUGAUCUGUUAAUAAACGCCUCUAGGACCGUCAUGCCAGGGGAGGGGCUUCCGUAAGAAAAUAGCGAGAUUAAAAAAAGGAAAGCGCUCAGUGUUCCCUGCAGGGCCCUGCCCCGGGGCGCCCUGCCCACGGGGGCCACGGCACCCCCUGCUGGCACGGGGACAUGGGGGGCGCAGGCCAGUGCUGCCCUGGCACCCUGCAGCCCCCACCCCGAGCCCUGGCUGGGCACAGCCCCCGCCAGCCACACCCCACCUGGGGCACCCCGACUUGGGGGCCCUGAUGGGGACAGGACACAUCCCCACAGCAGUGAGCUCCCAGUGAUCCCACUGCUCCCAGUGAUCCCACUGAUCUUACUGCUCCCAGUGAUCCCACUGCUCCCAGUGAUCCCACUGAUCUUACUGCUCCCAGUGAUCCCACUGCUCCCAGUGAUCCCACUGAUCUUACUGCUCCCAGUGAUCCCACUGCUCCCAGUGAUCCCACUGAUCUUACUGCUCCCACUGAUCCCACUGAUCUUACUGCUCCCAGUGACCCCACUGCUCCCAGUGAUCCCACUGAUCUUACUGCUCCCAGUGAUCCCACUGCUCCCAGUGAUCUUACUGCUCCCAGUGAUCCCACUGCUCCCAGUGAUCCCACUGAUCUUACUGCUCCC
RNAcentral lists this long non-coding RNA (817 nucleotides) under Ficedula albicollis (Collared flycatcher). RNAcentral's name for it is "lncRNA (ENSFALG00000024762.1)". Lineage: Eukaryota; Metazoa; Chordata; Aves; Passeriformes; Muscicapidae. The record is from RNAcentral.